AUUGAACGCUGGCGGCAGGCCUAACACAUGCAAGUCGAGCGGAUGAAGGGAGCUUGCUCCUGGAUUCAGCGGCGGACGGGUGAGUAAUGCCUAGGAAUCUGCCUGGUAGUGGGGGAUAACGUCCGGAAACGGGCGCUAAUACCGCAUACGUCCUGAGGGAGAAAGUGGGGGAUCUUCGGACCUCACGCUAUCAGAUGAGCCUAGGUCGGAUUAGCUAGUUGGUGGGGUAAAGGCCUACCAAGGCGACGAUCCGUAACUGGUCUGAGAGGAUGAUCAGUCACACUGGAACUGAGACGCGGUCCAGGCUCCUACGGGAGGCAGCAGUGGGGAAUAUUGGACAAUGGGCGAAAGCCUGAUCCAGCCAUGCCGCGUGUGUGAAGAAGGUCUUCGGAUUGUAAAGCACUUUAAGUUGGGAGGAGGGGCAGUAAGUUAAUACCUUGCUGUUUUGACGUUACCAACAGAAUAAGCACCGGCUAACUUCGUG
RNAcentral lists this ribosomal RNA (484 nucleotides) under uncultured bacterium. RNAcentral's name for it is "partial 16S ribosomal RNA". It matches the Rfam family "Bacterial small subunit ribosomal RNA", at positions 30 to 507 of the family's 1533-position model. The record is from RNAcentral.